This 18-nucleotide non-coding RNA is filed under the name Arabidopsis thaliana (thale cress). The record is from RNAcentral. RNAcentral also lists the same sequence under 1 other name. Lineage: Eukaryota; Viridiplantae; Streptophyta; Magnoliopsida; Brassicales; Brassicaceae.
UUACCACAGGGAUAACUG